Long non-coding RNA from Siniperca chuatsi (mandarin fish), 2059 nucleotides. RefSeq lists it as uncharacterized. The record is from RefSeq and is a predicted model, not a curated record. NCBI's taxonomy places the organism in Eukaryota, Metazoa, Chordata, Actinopteri, Centrarchiformes, Sinipercidae. The transcript is spliced from 2 exons.
GUGAACCAGGAGGAGAAGCGGCUUCAAUGAAAACACUCCAGCACCGACUGACACGGACAGCUCCCUGAGCGGCUCUGCGCAGGCGCAUAUGGGGGCGGGGAUUGUGGGUUAAAGAAGAACUGGAUGAAGAUGCUGAUAUGAAGUAUUCAAGUACAGCACCUUCACUACAGUCUCAACCUUUGCUGAUGAAGAAACUACCAUCUUUUUCAUCAUGUGAAAUAUUUACUGUACAUUCCUUCAGAUUGACUGAAUGAACUCCUCUCGAACAAUCUCACCAGCCUGAUGCUUCUUCUCUGAGGAUAAGCUGAUAACUUCACCCGAGGCUUUCCUCGAGCCCUCGAUAACAUCAGUGAUUAUAAUGAGAUGAGCUGUGAAGCACAAGAACAAUCAUGUGUUGAAUCAUGAACGGGGUCUAAAUAUAUCUGCGUCUGCUAUCGUGGCACGUUAGGCUUUGUCGCUGCUGGGAAACGUUUUACGCAGAAAGAGGAGCAAUUGUUUUCAUGUUGCUAUAACACAAUCUAAAUUUAUUCUACUGCAGGAACAACUGCAAGGCAGACUGGUCAAAUGAUUGAAUUUAAAAAUGUCUCUUGCUGUUUUACGCCAAAUGAGGAUGUUAAGAGCAAUUAUUUUCCCUUUAUACACACUAAACAAUACAAAUAACUAUAACUCUAUUUUAUAGGAUGUUUUCCAGGAAAUACCACAACACUAGAACUGGAAGCAAUUAUAAAACCAACUACUGACAAAAUGACUGCAGUGCUAUACUAUAAGUUUAUUUGUAAUAUCAUUACUUGAUUUAGGAGUAAAAAGACUGAUUUAACUGAAAAUUGUCCAUCAACCAACAUAUUCUGUAUUUUUACAUUCUAAGCCGCCACUAGAGGGCAACAUUGCCAUGAAACCAGGAUCAAUAAAUAAACUGUGUGAACUGCAGUGCUUUUUUUUUGUACAGCCACAGGGAAAUGUUUUUUGUUACCAUGUGCUCAGUCCUUCUCUGGAUCUGUUUGAAGAUGAUUUCAACUUAUUUUUAAGAAAAUCAAUCCAAUAUAAAACCACUAUUUAUAUACUAACACACCUUGGAUGAUUAGUUUGCCAACGAUUAGUCUGAGGAUCAGAGUUAUCAAAUCCUCUGCAACCUUGAUUUUUCAUUCAUCACAGCACAGAUCUAUUGAAGAUACAGUAGUGACUAUAAAGUUGUUUGAUACUGUUUACUUGUUGGGGGUUUUUUGUGUUGUGUUUUUUUUUUUCCUUUUUUUAUUGAAGUAACUACUUCACAACUCAACAAAUAAAGAGUAUCAAAAAUUUUUUUAAAUAGAACAUAAAGAAAAAACAGUGAUGCUCAUGAAGCAAACAUGUCAGACAAAUACAAAAUACAUGUCUUCUGAGUUCUCUGUCAAUAUAGUACGACAGCCUUGUGUAUUUAGGCUCAAGGCUCAAGUUUUGGCAAAGUUUAACUUUUUAACAGAAACAAUGAAAAACAGUCAGUUCAUGUUAAUUAUAAUAUAAUAAUAAUUUCAGAAAAAUUCUACUUGGCUCCUUUAGUUACUAGUAGUUUCACCAACAUUGUUACGGGCUGAUAAAAAUGCAAUAACUUUAUGAAAUAUUGGGGUGAAAUAUUUUCAGCUUCCAAAAGGGAAGAAAAUUUUACUCUUUACUGUUUCUUUUACAUAAACAGACAUUGAGGCACAGACAAACUCAUCAAACAACUGCUUUGUUGUUCAGUGCAACUUGUAUAUUUCUGAAAAAUACAAAAAAACAAGAUUGUGCUUGUGCAUGAUGAUCUUUAUUAAAUUUCAUGUGUUUUUGUUAAACACAUACUAUUACAACAGUGAACAUUUACCAGUGCAUUUGCUUUUCAGUCAUCCCUUUUAAUCAGUCCUAUUAUGCUAGAACACUAUUUAGAGUCUAAUAGUCCAGUAGUGUCAAAAUCAAAGCUGGGUGAGUUUGAAUCAAACUUUCAAACAGCAUAAACAUUAGCUUUUCAUGGUGAGUACACACAUAUUCCAUGAAGAUCAGAUUUGUGCCAAAGUCUGUAAUAACAUUGCCCGUCUGAUCAGAAAAUUAA